RNAcentral lists this ribosomal RNA (492 nucleotides) under uncultured bacterium. Its description in RNAcentral is "bacterial SSU rRNA". It matches the Rfam family "Bacterial small subunit ribosomal RNA", at positions 34 to 507 of the family's 1533-position model. The record is from RNAcentral.
CGCUGGCGGCGUGCCUAANACAUGCAAGUCGAACGGGACUGAUUGGAAAAGCGGCUUCGGCCAAUGGAAGAUCGGUUUAGUGGCGAACGGGUGAGUAACACGUGAGGAACCUGCCUUUCAGUGGGGGACAACAGUUGGAAACGACUGCUAAUACCGCAUAAUGUACUAUAGGGGCAUCCCUUAAGUACCAAAGCUUUAUGUGCUGAAAGAUGGCCUCGCGUCUGAUUAGAUAGUUGGUGGGUAACGGCCUACCAAGUCAACGAUCAGUAGCCGGUCUGAGAGGAUGAACGGCCACAUUGGGACUGAGACACGGACCAGACUCCUACGGGAGGCAGCAGUGAGGAAUAUUGGUCAAUGGGCGAGAGCCUGAACCAGCCAAGUCGCGUGAGGGACGACGGUACUAAGUAUUGUAAACCUCUUUUGUCAGGGAACAAAGAGACCACGUGUGGUAAGAUGAGUGUACCUGAAGAAAAAGCAUCGGCUAACUCCGUG